Molecule: unclassified non-coding RNA, 286 nt
Filed under: uncultured fungus
Lineage: Eukaryota; Fungi
Description: partial contains small subunit ribosomal RNA, internal transcribed spacer 1, and 5.8S ribosomal RNA
Rfam family: Eukaryotic small subunit ribosomal RNA (bases 1-73)
Source: RNAcentral
CCAAACUUGGUCAUUUAGAGGAAGUAAAAGUCGUAACAAGGUCUCCGUUGGUGAACCAGCGGAGGGAUCAUUACUGAGUGUAAAAACUCCCAAACCCUAUGCAAACCUACCAAAGUUGCUUCGGCGGCCUAAAUCGCCCCGGGCGCCCUCGCGGCGCCCCGGACCCAGGCGACCGCCGGAGGCCCCAAACUCCUGAAUUACAGUGGAUUUUCUGAGUGGCAUAAGCAAAUAAAUCAAAACUUUCAGCAACGGAUCUCUUGGUUCUGGCAUCGAUGAAGAACGCAGC